UAAAACUCAAGCAUAUGAAUUGGCGCGUGCCUUUUACGUGUCUAACUUUUACAAGUAAUUCUUUUAUGUUUUAGAAUGAAUCUUUUAGAUUCUCAAUUAAUUUUCCCAGUCAAAUGAUUAUUGAUUUUUAUCUUGGUAAUUGAUCCACUACUUGAAUUUGGAAAUUAAGUGGAUUGGGGCCCCUUGUCAAUGUUUCGCUAGAGUCAAUCUGAUUACAGCGAUUCAAAUGGUGGUGCACUGAAGGUUGUUCUUGUCCUGCUGACCUUCAAUUCAAAGAUUAAGCAAUUUAGAUAUUCACCCAUUUUUCUUCAGGUAAACUCAUGUGCUUGUCAGUCAAACGUUUGGAGGUCUUGCUAAUUGUCAUGCAGCUGCAGGCUGUCAUCGAUGAAGUAAAAGCAUUUUCUUUCUGUCACUCAGCAGUACAUUUUAAUGCCUCUUCUCCGUGAGAAAAACUUCAUCAGGAGUGCAUCAAAACCUGACUGAACAGAACUUUGCAUCUCCUUCGUGAGGCAUGUAAUUUGAGCUCAAAAAUAGUCUAUAGUAUGAUCCUAAAAGAUAAGCCUUGCCAAACGAACUUAAUGUCCCGCCUUUUUUAUUAGCUCAAAAACAAUCUAUAUUCUGAUCUUAAAAAAAGAAGCUUUGAAAAACAAACUAUCACAAUUGCUUAUAUUGCUUAGAUAUUUGUUUGGUCUAUUCAAGGGGACUUAUCAUUAAGAUAGAUGAUUUUUUUAUGCAUUUAAUUUGCGCACACACUUGAACUCCGUGUAUACCUGGGAAUUUUAUUUAUUCUUUCAAUAAGUUUGAUUUAAUAUUUAGACUUAUCCCUCCAACUUGCACUAACUUGUCAUGUUAAGUUCUAAAUAUGGGAGUAAAGAAAUUGUUAGGGAUAAAACAACCUUAAAAUCUUAGCUCUCGACAUAUAAACUUGGAACAAAGAAGAAUUGACGUUAAAGUCUCACCAGUCAAGAAUAAAUAUGCUGCAGCUUGCAAUUGUAAAAGGCCCCACACUGCGCUUACUUUUAACUAUAUUGCAUUGAAUAAAGUCAAUACUGUUUUUGCUGAAAAUUUUCAGACUGAGGUGAAAGAGGAUGCAGUAGAUAGAGAGACUAUGCCACGAGGACCAUCAACCUUUGGUGCAACCUCGCGCUAUGUAUUCAAAAAACUAUUAUCCCAAGUCUGCACCCAGAAAGUCUAUUCACAUAUAUGUGCGCGCGCGCGCGCAUAUAUAAUCUUGAAAAAAAACAUAUAGUGGAUAUCUUUAAUUAGGAAUACUUUUAAUUAGUUUUGAUUUAUGGUUCAGGAUUUCAAAGGCAUUUAACUCAAUUGAGGUAAGGAAUUAUAUUUUUCUUUGGCAUCCGUGAAAGUUCAUUAUAACUUCUGCAAUUAUUGAGACUUGAAUGUGGAAGUAACUACUAAAAUUAUUGAAAUUAAUAAAUAUAAUCAUUGUCUAUUAUCAUGGAUCUCUUUUUUGGUAUAAUAAGUCUAUAAGACUAGAGGCUUGUAUUUAUUUCAAUGAUGUUUUAUGUCCAAUUUGAUGUAGUCAAGUAUUAGGUGAAGAGUUUUCUAUCAAAUAGCUCUUACAUUAUCUAUUUUCCUGGAACUCUUUUUCAUAUAAUAAUGUUGUGUUCAAUGAUAUUUUGUCAACAUAAGUGAACUCAUGUAUGAAUUUUUAUUAAAAAUAUUUAGUUAUCUGCCCUCUAUAUAUCUGCAUUGAUAUUGAUAUGUCUCCAUGUCCAUAGUCUAUCAAUUAUCUAUUUGUAAUAAGCACACUUCGGAGACCUUGAAGGGUCUGAAAGAAGUAUCAAAAGAAUUAAAGAUAGGUCUCAGAAUUCACAUGCACUCAUCAAUAUUAGUGGGAGGCACUCAGAUAUCAAGUCUCUAUCACAAUAUUAAAAAAAAAACACCUAUUUUAUAUCUAUCAUAAAUUUCUAAGAUAUCAUGUUGUAGAGAAGAAGAGAUUUGACAGUACAUGAAUUUUGCAGCUAUCUUUGAAUAGCUGAAAAGAAAAGGGCAUUUCUCUUUAUGUUACUUGAUCAAAAGCUACAAUGUACAGGUCCAAUUAAUUAGCUUCACAGGUUGAAAAUGGCAGAAUUUUCUUCCGUUGAUCAAAAGCCGCUAAAUGAAGCAAGGUGUUAUUCCUUAAAUUUGUUAUAGCACAGACCAUGGCAGCUUUUUAAAGCAUCGUCCACGAGUCAAGGUUUAUUGAGGUUGAAAGCAAGCAUUCCACGAGUCAAGGUUUAUUGAGGUUGAAAGCAAGCAUGAAUGAUCUGGCUUCAAAGUAUCAACAGUAUCAAGUUGCCAGUGCUGAAGAACUUGAGUGUGGAGGCAAAGAAGAACAUGAUGAUGUCAAUAUGGCAUCGAGGGAUGGAGUUAUCUCCACCUUAUUAUUGCUCAAAUGAUUACCAUUAUUCGUUCUUUUUUGUGAGCUCUAAGCUCUUUAAUUGAAUUUGUUUUAUCAAUGCA
Molecule: long non-coding RNA, 2463 nt
Organism: Prosopis cineraria
Lineage: Eukaryota; Viridiplantae; Streptophyta; Magnoliopsida; Fabales; Fabaceae
Exons: 4
Source: RefSeq, a predicted model, not a curated record